GACGAACGCUGGCGGCGUGCUUAACACAUGCAAGUCGAACGGAAAGGCCUGCUUUCCCUUGUGGAUUGCGGGUACUCGAGUGGCGAACGGGUGAGUAACACGUGAGGGAUCUGCCCCCAACUUGGGUAUAAGCCUGGGAAACUGGGUCUAAUUCCCGAUAGGACUGCAGGGUGGUGCCUGUGGUGGAAAACGAUUUUCUAGUGGUUGGGGAUGAGCUCGCGGCCUAUCAGCUUGUUGGUGGGGUAAUGGCCUACCAAGGCGGCGACGGGUAGCCGGCCUGAGAGGGUGGACGGCCACAUUGGGACUGAGAUACGGCCCAGACUCCUACGGGAGGCAGCAGUGGGGAAUAUUGCACAAUGGGCGGAAGCCUGAUGCAGCGACGCCGCGUGGGGGAUGACGGCCUUCGGGUUGUAAACUCCUUUCGACCGCGAGGAAGCCACCUGGUUGGAAGGGUGGUGACGGUAGUGGUAGAAGAAGCACCGGCUAACUACGUG
RNAcentral lists this ribosomal RNA (494 nucleotides) under uncultured bacterium. Its description in RNAcentral is "partial 16S ribosomal RNA". It matches the Rfam family "Bacterial small subunit ribosomal RNA", at positions 28 to 507 of the family's 1533-position model. The record is from RNAcentral.